CUGGACACGACUAUGGUUGGCCUUUGGUACCCUGACCUCUCGCUUAGGUACCUCUUUCUCCUCCUGGAUUCCCCCAAACACUGCCUAUGCACACAAGGGAUCCAAACCUGAAGGAGUACAUCGCGUCAGCCAUUCCUGUCUUGCUGUGGACGAGUCAAGACAGUGCAUUCCUUCUUUGGACUGUGGUGGCAGAUGGGGGGGAGCAGGAAAGCCAGCCGCAGCACGCCUGCCAUCCGGAUAACUGAUGAGCAGGGCGUCUUCCUUUCUGAAAAUAUUCUAAAUGACUGUGAAGGGCGCACAGCGGUUUUGACGUAUCUGUAAUAAAAGCUUGGAGACCUGGGGUUCCGGGGUCAUGGAA
Long non-coding RNA from Mastomys coucha (southern multimammate mouse), 358 nucleotides. RefSeq lists it as uncharacterized. The record is from RefSeq and is a predicted model, not a curated record. The transcript has 2 exons. Lineage: Eukaryota; Metazoa; Chordata; Mammalia; Rodentia; Muridae.